RNAcentral lists this ribosomal RNA (1032 nucleotides) under Rangifer tarandus tarandus. RNAcentral describes it as "partial 16S ribosomal RNA". It matches the Rfam family "Bacterial large subunit ribosomal RNA", at positions 853 to 2593 of the family's 2925-position model. The record is from RNAcentral. Lineage: Eukaryota; Metazoa; Chordata; Mammalia; Artiodactyla; Cervidae.
GUCCAGGAAAUGAAUAUAAGUUCAGCUUUAAAAAAUACCAAAAAUAUAAAUAAAUGCACUGUAUUUUUAAAAGUUAGUCUAAAAGGGUACAGCCUUUUAGAAACGGAUACAACCUUAACUAGAGAGUAAAAUUUGAUAAUACCAUAGUAGGCCCAAAAGCAGCCACCAAUUAAGAAAGCGUUAAAGCUCAACAAUAAACUUAUAUUAAUUCCAAUAACAAAUAAUCAACUCCUAGCCUUAAUACUGGACUAAUCUAUAAAAAUAGAAGCAAUAAUGUUAAUAUGAGUAACAAGAAGUCUCUUCUCCUUGCACGAGUUUAAGUCAGUAUCUGAUAAUAUUCUGACUGUUAACAGCAAAAUAAGAAUAACCCAACCAUAAAUAACUUAUUAAAUAUACUGUUAAUCCAACACAGGAGUGCACUUAAGGAAAGAUUAAAAGAAGUAAAAGGAACUCGGCAAACAUUAAACCCCGCCUGUUUACCAAAAACAUCACCUCCAGCAUAACUAGUAUUGGAGGCACUGCCUGCCCAGUGACAAUCGUUAAACGGCCGCGGUAUCCUGACCGUGCAAAGGUAGCAUAAUCAUUUGUUCUCUAAAUAAGGACUUGUAUGAAUGGCCAAACGAGGGUUUUACUGUCUCUUACUUCCAAUCAGUGAAAUUGACCUUCCCGUGAAGAGGCGGGAAUAUAUCAACAAGACGAGAAGACCCUAUGGAGCUUUAACUACUUAGCCCAAAGAAAUAAAUUUAACAACUAAGGAAACAACAAUACUCUUUAUGGGCUAACAGCUUUGGUUGGGGUGACCUCGGAGAACAGAAAAUCCUCCGAGCGAUUUUAAAGACUAGACCUACAAGUCAAAUCACAUAAUCGCUUAUUGAUCCAAAAAAUUGAUCAACGGAACAAGUUACCCUAGGGAUAACAGCGCAAUCCUAUUCAAGAGUCCAUAUCGACAAUAGGGUUUACGACCUCGAUGUUGGAUCAGGACAUCCCGAUGGUGCAACCGCUAUCAAAGGUUCGUUUGUUCAACGAUUAAAG